This 575-nucleotide ribosomal RNA is filed under the name Aspergillus sp. An-3G. Its description in RNAcentral is "partial 18S ribosomal RNA". The stretch from base 204 to 357 matches the Rfam family "5.8S ribosomal RNA". Lineage: Eukaryota; Fungi; Ascomycota; Eurotiomycetes; Eurotiales; Aspergillaceae. The record is from RNAcentral.
GAACCUGCGGAAGGAUCAUUACCGAGUGUAGGGUUCCUAGCGAGCCCAACCUCCCACCCGUGUUUACUGUACCUUAGUUGCUUCGGCGGGCCCGCCAUUCAUGGCCGCCGGGGGCUCUCAGCCCCGGGCCCGCGCCCGCCGGAGACACCACGAACUCUGUCUGAUCUAGUGAAGUCUGAGUUGAUUGUAUCGCAAUCAGUUAAAACUUUCAACAAUGGAUCUCUUGGUUCCGGCAUCGAUGAAGAACGCAGCGAAAUGCGAUAACUAGUGUGAAUUGCAGAAUUCCGUGAAUCAUCGAGUCUUUGAACGCACAUUGCGCCCCCUGGUAUUCCGGGGGGCAUGCCUGUCCGAGCGUCAUUGCUGCCCAUCAAGCACGGCUUGUGUGUUGGGUCGUCGUCCCCUCUCCGGGGGGGACGGGCCCCAAAGGCAGCGGCGGCACCGCGUCCGAUCCUCGAGCGUAUGGGGCUUUGUCACCCGCUCUGUAGGCCCGGCCGGCGCUUGCCGAACGCAAAUCAAUCUUUUUCCAGGUUGACCUCGGAUCAGGUAGGGAUACCCGCUGAACUUAAGCAUAUCAA